UAAGGAAUAUUGGUCAAUGGACGAAAGUCUGAACCAGCCAUGCCGCGUGGAGGAUGAAGGUCCUCUGGAUUGUAAACUUCUUUUAUAGGGGACGAAAAAGGGAAUUCUUUCCGUCUGACGGUACCCUAUGAAUAAGCACCGGCUAACUCCGUGCCAGCAGCCGCGGUAAUACGGAGGGUGCAAGCGUUAUCCGGAUUCACUGGGUUUAAAGGGUGCGUAGGCGGGCAGGUAAGUCAGAGGGUGAAAUCUCCGGGGCUUAACCCGGAAACUGCCUUUGAUACUAUCUGUCUUGAAUAUGGUGGAGGUAAGCGGAAUAUGUCAUGUAGCGGUGAAAUGCUUAGAGAUGACAUAGAACACCCAUUGCGAAGGCAGCUUACUACGCCUAUAUUGACGCUGAGGCACGAAAGCGUGGGGAUCAAACAGGAUUAGAUACCCUGGUAGUCCACGCCCUAAACGAUGAUUACUCGACAUACGCGAUACACAGUGUGUGUCUGAGCGAAAGCAUUAAGUAA
RNAcentral lists this ribosomal RNA (512 nucleotides) under uncultured bacterium. Its description in RNAcentral is "bacterial SSU rRNA". It matches the Rfam family "Bacterial small subunit ribosomal RNA", at positions 355 to 867 of the family's 1533-position model. The record is from RNAcentral.